CUACGGGUCGCUCCAGUGAGGAAUUUUGCGCAAUGGGGGAAACCCUGACGCAGCAACGCCGCGUGAGUGAAGAAGGCCUUUGGGUCGUAAAGCUCUGUCAACAGGGAAGAAGUUACUGUUUUUUAAUAGAGGAUGGUAUUGACGGUACCUGUGAAGGAAGCAUCGGCUAACUCCGUGCCAGCAGCCGCGGUAAUACGGGGGAUGCCAGCGUGAUUCGGAAUUAUUGGGCGUAAAGGGCACGCCGGCGUGCCUUGUCAGUCAGAUGUGAAAGCCCGGGGCUCAACCCCGGACGGUCAUUUGAAAUAGUAAGGAUUGAGUAAGGUAGAGGAGAGGGGAAGUCCUGGUGUAGAGGAGAAAUUAGUAGAUAUCAGGAGGAACUCCGGUGGCGAAGGCGCCUCUCUGGGCCUGUACUGACGAUGAGGUGCGAAGGCGUGGGUAGCGAACAGGAUUGGAUACCCGGGUAGUC
RNAcentral lists this ribosomal RNA (466 nucleotides) under uncultured bacterium. Its description in RNAcentral is "partial 16S ribosomal RNA". It matches the Rfam family "Bacterial small subunit ribosomal RNA", at positions 339 to 795 of the family's 1533-position model. The record is from RNAcentral.